UACGAAGGGGGGCUAGCGUUGCUCGGAAUCACUGGGCGUAAAGCGCACGUAGGCGGCUUCUUAAGUCAGGGGUGAAAUCCUGGAGCUCAACUCCAGAACUGCCUUUGAUACUGAGGAGCUUGAGUCCGGGAGAGGUGAGUGGAACUGCGAGUGUAGAGGUGAAAUUCGUAGAUAUUCGCAAGAACACCAGUGGCGAAGGCGCUCACUGGCCCGAUACUGACGCUGAGGCACGAAAGCUAGGGGAGCAACAGG
RNAcentral lists this ribosomal RNA (252 nucleotides) under uncultured bacterium. RNAcentral's name for it is "partial 16S ribosomal RNA". It matches the Rfam family "Bacterial small subunit ribosomal RNA", at positions 524 to 775 of the family's 1533-position model. The record is from RNAcentral.